Molecule: long non-coding RNA, 1442 nt
Organism: Oncorhynchus keta (chum salmon)
Lineage: Eukaryota; Metazoa; Chordata; Actinopteri; Salmoniformes; Salmonidae
Exons: 3
Source: RefSeq, a predicted model, not a curated record
UUUGGUCAAAAGCAUAAUCCUUUACUCAGGUGUUACGGGUCACCACAUUGUCAGAUAAAUACGCAACGCAGAGACAGAGGGACGAGAGGACGAUCAAUGGAAAUAGUUUUUUUUUGUUGUUGGUGUAAAUAAUGAUCGAUGGUUCAGAGACAUGGGAGGAAUAUGUCUUCUGAAAUAGGAUUACUUGUUAUUUGGCCAUUGGCUAGUUUUAUGGCGAGGAAUUCUAAUUGGUUAUAAAACUACAUCCUGUCACUUUGUUCUGUGGAGAGAACCACUGAGGACAGGGGAGACCAUCUACCUCCCCUGUAGGAUUUGUCCUCUUCGAAUAAAUCCAUUUUCCUCCUCAGAUUUGCUAUUUGGGGUAUUGAAGAGUAACAGGAUCCGAAACGGAACCUUCAUAACGCCGUUUAUAGAUCCUAGACAGGUGCCCCACUAGCGCCAUCUCUGGGUUGGCAUUAUUACCCGUUUAUAGAUCCGAGACAGGUGCCCCACUAGCGCCAUCUCUGGGUUGGCAUUAUUACCCGUUUAUAGAUCCGAGACAGGUGCCCCACUAGCGCCAUCUCUGGGUUGGCAUUAUUACCCGUUUAUAGAUCCGAGACAGGUGCCCCACUAGCGCCAUCUCUGGGUUGGCAUUAUUACCCGUUUAUAGAUCCGAGACAGGUGCCCCACUAGCGCCAUCUCUGGGUUGGCAUUAUUACCCGUUUAUAGAUCCUAGACAGGUGCCCCACUAGCGCCAUCUCUGGGUUGGCAUUAUUACCCGUUUAUAGAUCCGAGACAGGUGCCCCACUAGCGCCAUCUCUGGGUUGGCAUUAUUACCCGUUUAUAGAUCCGAGACAGGUGCCCCACUAGCGCCAUCUCUGGGUUGGCAUUAUUACCCGUUUAUAGAUCCGAGACAGGUGCCCCACUAGCGCCAUCUCUGGGUUGGCAUUAUGCCCAUUAUAUUAACAGGCGUAAUCUACUGUACACAUUACAGAAACUACCUUGUUAAAUGGUGUUAUGUACAAUCACUAAGACUGUGGUCACAUGACUUCUGUUUAAAACUGUUCCUUUUAGAGCUGUUUGUAAAAAUAAAAUGCACACCAAUGGUUUAAUGAAAACUGUAUUUUUUUCAACACAAGUUCUCUAGUCUACUGAAUAUGGCAGACCUUGUUUAGGAAUAAAGUAUAAGCAGACUGUUGAUCUACCUUUUUAUUGUGGUAAAAAAAAAAAUCAGAUAAGGGCUUCAUUUUUAUAGAGUUAAAAUAAAAUUGUAGCUACAAGGAGAAAAUUUGCGACAUACUGGUAAUUCAAAACAAUUAAAAACAUUUACAUUCAUUCACAUAACCUAUAAAAAAAAUGACAAAAUGGCAUUGUCAUGUCAGUUUAACACGAAAUGCAGAUUGUCCACACACACACACCAAAAAAAAGGCACAAGAAGCCGACACACAGAUUGUCCGCACAAG